Molecule: non-coding RNA, 126 nt
Organism: Triticum aestivum (bread wheat)
Lineage: Eukaryota; Viridiplantae; Streptophyta; Magnoliopsida; Poales; Poaceae
Source: Rfam
CUGGUACUCCCUCCGUCCGAAAAAGCUUGUCCCAAGCUUGUCGCUCAAAUGGAUGUAUCUAGCACUAACUUGGUGCUAGAUACAUCCAUUUGAGGGACAAGGUUUUUCGGACGGAGGGAGUAUAAG